Molecule: non-coding RNA, 75 nt
Organism: Podarcis lilfordi (Lilford's wall lizard)
Lineage: Eukaryota; Metazoa; Chordata; Lepidosauria; Squamata; Lacertidae
Source: the annotation of a GenBank genome assembly
GCUCUCUGUGGCACAAUGGGUCAGUGCAUCUGGCUGUUAAGAAGAAGGUUGGUGGUUUGAGGCCACUCAGGAAUG